This is a long non-coding RNA of Camellia sinensis, 769 nucleotides long. RefSeq lists it as uncharacterized. Lineage: Eukaryota; Viridiplantae; Streptophyta; Magnoliopsida; Ericales; Theaceae. The record is from RefSeq and is a predicted model, not a curated record.
UCUAUUGUAAUUAGCUUACACAAUCGUAUCACAUUGCUUUAUGGCAAAAAAAAGUGGGCAAUUUGCUUAAUACAUAUGAAACUUUGAUAGAGAUCAUCUUUUAUGAAGAACUCUUUCUAGAGAGUUAGAGAGAGAGAGAGAGAGAGAGGAAAGAGUUCUAGAAUUGAGAAGGAAAGCUAGAGAUUUGGAAGAGAUUCAAGGAAAAAAUUCCUAGAUUUGAGCUAAGAUCGCUCAUGCAGCUGCGAGCUCCACACAAGCGGAACAUGAACCAAAACAAGGGAAUGCAUUCUGCUUGCUCGAGUGGCUAACACUUCCGCACGAGCGGAACAUGACCGCUCGAGCGGUGAGGCCUUCCACAUGAACGGACAGCAUGGGGAAAAUUCUGCUUUCUUUUUGUUGACCUUUCUGACCUUCUGAACGCAUUUUUGACCUUAUGUAAACACUCUGGAAAAUGAAGUGAUGAUUAGAAACCCAUUGAAAAAUGAUGUGAAUCAUUAAAAAAAAGUGUACGAAAUGGAACGUAUUAUUUAUCAAAUGUGUAUGUGUGAAAUGUUGUGUAGGUCGUGUGUCAGAGGGAACGGCGCAAGACCAAACGCACUGUGGUCAGCAGGGAGAUCAGCCUUAGAAUUAGCCUCAAGAACUGUCUAUGUGGACCUGUUAUACCAAACCUCCAAGAUGGAGCUUUUAUCUUUUUGGUGUUAUAAUUUAUGUUUAAGUCUUUUGUUUGCUUUUUGUCAAAUGGGUUUGUGUAUAUGUAAACUUAAUAUUA